Molecule: long non-coding RNA, 7163 nt
Filed under: Arabidopsis thaliana (thale cress)
Lineage: Eukaryota; Viridiplantae; Streptophyta; Magnoliopsida; Brassicales; Brassicaceae
Description: long non-coding RNA (ATHA_LNC000322)
Source: RNAcentral
CCUGAUUUAAUACAGUAUAACCUCAGGUUCAGUUUCAAAUGUGUUGCUACUACCAAUUUAAAGCUUGGUCUCAUAGUUACAAACCUUGAGAAGCGAAACAUUGAGGUUGAACGGCAUGUCGUUGAUGGAAGGUAUUUUGUAGUUUCCGGGUCCGCAAGUGAGUAAACUUCCUGGUUUAAUCCAUUUAUGAGCUGCAUCUCCCCAUUUGAGUUCUUCUAAAGCUACCCAACCCAGUCCUUGUACAAACGCUCCUUCUAUCUGUAAAUAGUCAUUUCAGAUACAACACUAUUCUUCUAAAAGAUAAGAAAGUAUAGGAGGGUAAGGGAAGAACACGCACUUGUCCAACAUCAAUGGCUGGGUUAAGAGAAUAUCCGAGGUCCAACAUUAUAUCAGCUGCUCUUGUGUGGAAAUCACCAGUCAAUGUAUCUAUCUCAACUUCCGCAAAGGCAGCUCCAUAUGUGUAAUAUCUAAAGGCGUUCCCUUUUCCAGAUAUCCAGUCAAACCCAAGAUCAGGAACUAUGUGAAAACCAUGAGCUGAUAGGUCUAUCCGUUGAAAGUAGCAGGCACUUACUAGCUACAUAUACUCAGAGAGAAGGACAUUUUUUUCAUCAAAAUAGGCAUCUAACUCUUCUGAGUUUAUAUCACGUUGCAAGAUAAAAAAAAUACCUCAGUAAAUGUGUUGAAAUUGUGCUUAGAUGCAACAGGUUCCAUUCUUGCUAUAAUCUGCUCACAAGCGUCUAAAACUGCAGCACCAUACAUAUCAGAGCUCGCAGAAGCAGCAGUUGGUGACGCAUUAGGAACCUAUCAAGAGACCAUCAAAACGAUAAGAGAGGAAAAACAUUUUUGUCUGAUUAUGUCUCGGCCCAAAGUGUGCAGCUUUGUAAUUGACUUAGAUGUACCUUGUCAGUGCUUGUCUCUGACACGAAAACUGAGCUAAGUGGAAUGUUAAAGGCGGAUGCAGCAACUUGAGCGACCUUUGUAUGCAAUCCUUGACCCAUCUCCACACCACCAUGAGUCACUAAAACAGUCCCGUCAGUGUAAACAUGAACAAGAGCUCCGGCCUGUAACAUCCCCAUAAUGUGGAGGGAAAAAUAAAAGAUAAGUAUUUUAAAAUUUAGAUUCUAGCUUUGCAAGCAAUGGUAGUGCAUUGGCGAAAUUUCCAUGGCAGAUUUUCUCUUAUUGUUCCAGUUUCUCGACAGAUAACUAACUUGAAAGAAAAAGGAUCCAUGUCAACCAAAGAUAACCUGAUUCAUGAACUUUGUGGUAAAUGAUAUGCCAAAUUUUGUGGGAACCAUAGCUACACCACGCUUUUUCCACCGAUUAUGACUAUUAAAUUCGUCAGCUUCUCUGCGGGCCUUUAAGAAGUUGCACGAUACUUUCAGCUCUUUCCAGAGCUGAUGCAAUGUGCAGUGCUGAAGAGUCUGACAGUAAUGGGUGACUGAUCCUUCCACUUGAAAGUUCAUCUCCUAAAGUAAAGUAUAUACACCAGAAAAUAUUAAGAUAAGAAACUGAUAAAAGGAGGACAACUUCCUAUAAACUUUCAGGAGAUGGAGAUGUUUAGAAAAUAUUCAACUCACUUUGAUUUCUUCAGGGCUUUUAUUAAGCUCAGCUGCGAUUCUUUGAAUCCAGUUUUCAGUUAUAAGCAUACCUUGGGGGCCUCCAAACCCUCGGAAAGCAGUGUUGCUAGGAAAAUUAGUAAAGCAAACAUUCCCAACAAUCCUUACAUGCGGGAUCUCAUAAACGUUAUCCGAGUGAAACAUGGCACGUUCAAGAACAGAAAGGGAGAGAUCCAAAGAGUUGCCACCAUUGUUGUAAAUUUCAAGGUCCAACGCCAAUAUUUUUCCUUCGUUCGUAAAUCCAACCUUUAAGAUAGCAGAACACAAUAAAAAAAGGAAUUGUUUAGUUUGUCUAACAAUCUAUUCCCACUGUUUCUUCUACUGACAACCGUUUCUUUCCAUUUCAUUGCUCACUGCCUAAAAAUUCCGGGGAAAUAACUGGAAAUACCUUGUACUUUCCAAGAAAACUAUGACGAUGACCAGUUAUCAUCAUGUCCACAUCUCGGUCCAGUAUGAGUUUCACAGGUCGAUUCAAUAGGUAGGAAGGAACAGAAGCUGCCGCAGCAAUGAAAGCUGAUCUUGUUUCUUUACCACCAAAGCCACCACCAAUUCGUUUGGUUUUGCAUACCACUUUAGACAUCGGAAGACCAAGAACAUGCGACACAUAUUUCUGGUGCUUUUGAGGAGCCUGCAUAUAAAUCACAACCACCAACAUUUGCUUAAGCAGAGACAACAUUAUCAUAUAAUAUCUUAAACUAGCUGAUGCCUAAUAGUUUUCUUGUACAGAGACUUAAUGGUCAUGUACUGGUCCGACAAACCAAGAAUAAAAAUGAAUUCCACUCAGUAAAGUAUAUGGCAGUACACUAAUAAUAUGCUUACCUGUGUGGAUGAAAUCAUAUGAACUUCGCUGCCCCCAUCUACUGUCCAAACCAAACUACCAUUAGGCUCCAAGUAGAAGUGUUCCUGACCACCCAUUUGAACCUCUCCCUCUAUUACCCUGUCACACUGACCAGAUUGAAAACACAGCUCGACAUCCCCUUUUCUUAGCCUUUUCUCUGUGUUCGGAUGGAAACUUUUAGCAUUAAUAGCCUCCUUGAUUGAUAAUAUUGCUGGUAGUUCCUCAUACCUAACGUCAACUUUUCCUGCUGCAGUUUUUGCAUUUUCAUGUGUAUCCGCGACGACCACACCAAUGACCUGAAAUACCAAAGUCAAUUUAAUGAAAUAAUUGAGACGUAAGAUAUACAUAUAUACUAGAUCAUAUGAGAACUUUCAUUUACUUUUUUAAGAUAUAAACAGUACUAUUAGAAAACUUUGCUCGUUUACUUUCUGGUGAUCAGAAGCAUGCACCAAAAACAGAUUUGCUUAUAAAAAGCAUGUAAAAUUUCUUCUGAGACACAAGGAAGUUCUAGGCUCCAUUGAAAAGCUAAGAAAAAACGUGAAAAUUUAGGUUUCAAAUUUCCUUACUUGUCCCACACACGUGACCACAUCUGUAGCAAAUAAUUCUUCGUCGGGAACAAUUGGUCCAAUCAUAUUAUCCCCAGGAAUAUCUUUGGCAAGAAACAGACCAACAAAACCAGAUGAAGAUUUGGCUGCCGAAUCAUCGAUUGAAAGGAUGCGGGCAUGUGGCACUUUGCUUAGCACAAAGGCAGCAUGUAAGGUAUUAGGAGGUACUGGAGUAUCAUCAGUAUAUUCCGCUUCCCCUGUGACCUACAUAAAAAUAAUAAGUGUGUUGAGAUAAAAUGGUACGCUCUUCUCUACUCAACAACUUAUAGAGAAUUACACCAAAAAGAGACUUUGAUGGGAUAGAGGUUCUUAACUAUCAACGACAAAACCAUCCCAAAGCCAACAAUAUCCAGACACCAAACUUAUCAUUUUUACCAAGCUUAAACAUAUUUUAGAGUUAAGCUUAUGGAGUUGAUAAUGGUGAAGUUUGGAGUUGAGAAAAUAUGAAUACCAAGGAAUAAAAAAGAUACAAUUAAACAGUAGACCUAUGUUAUAUCCUGAAGUGGCUAAGAAAACAACCAGAAUGAGAAUCAAAGUGGAGAACCAAUUUGGGUAAAUGGACCAACAUACCUGCAUUCUCGCUGAAAGAUGCACCUCCGACGAGCCAACAGAUGUUCCCUGCUUUACUGUCUCAUAGUCUUGUUUUCCAAUUCUAGAUAACCGAGGAACAGGUUGCACAGCUGACAUAUGGGAGGGUGGGAAGGUCUCUAUCGCAGAAUUUGCAUUAUUGACAUUAUGAGAAACCCAUAAGAAAAAUUUAAAGAAGAAGCUUAGGGUUAGAGAUUUCCGAAACUCCACCAUUCCCCCAGGAGCAUCUUCCUUAAUCACGACAUCGCUCUGUAUGACCUUAAGCGCAUCCUGCAGAAGAUCUUUAUUCCAAUUCUUUCCAAUUAGAAACUCUUCAGUCUUUCUCGCACACAAAGAAAGAGGAGCCACACCUCCAUAAGCAAUGGAUGCAUCAGAAACGAACAAUUGUUGACCCUUGUCUUCAAGAAACACACGCAUUCCACCAUUGACAAUAGCUAUAUCAUCAUCCCUGCGAUGGGCCUGCUUAAAUUCUUUCACAUACUCUAAGGGUCUUGUCCAUGGAAGGAAUACCGACAACAAGAUCUCGUUGCUCCCCAUAUCCACUUUACGAUAACCGAGGAAGAAAUCUUUUGCAGGUAUAGACCUAACAUCUCCAUUGCAGUUGGUUAUCCGAAACUCUGCUCUUGAAGCCAUCCAAAGAGGAUUUAAAUCAGAUAUUGGACUAGCUGUACAGAUGUUUCCACCAAUGCAAGCAACAUUUCUUAUUUGUGUCCCAGCAAACCACUUCAGCUGUUCGAUAAAAGCCUUGCAUGCUGAUGUUUCAUGUGCAGGACGCUCCUUUACUAUCUUCCUGAAUAACCUCAGGAGUUCAGAAAGUCUCAAAGCUGAACCAACCUCUAUCCCAUUGUCAUUGACAUUCAAUGCGUUGAGUUCUGGGACUUGAGCAACAGAGAUCAGCACCUGAUACUGUAACCUCUUCAAUCUCAUUUCGAUUCCCACCUCUGUAUUACCUACCAGUAGUUUUGCAUCAGGAUAAUUUGCUUUGAGCUCAAGCAAGUUCUGAAGACAUACGGGUCUAUACCAGGUAAUCCCCCCAUUUCCCCUUAACUUUAAGGGAGUUAACUUCCUCAGCAAAAGUUCAGGGGGGAAAAUAAGCUCCUUAUCUGUAUACUUAGCUCCAUCUAUAUCACUAUAAGAGAUUGACUGAAAUCUAUCUUCAUUACAACUGGCAACUUCAUUUGUUGUUUUUGAUCCACAAGAGCAAGGUUUGCCAGUAGAUGGGCAAAUAGUAGAACCAUCUUGAAGGCUAAGUGAAGAUACACCACAGUAGAGAGCAUCAUCAGAUUUUGCAAAAACCCGAAACGCAUCAACAAUGGGUCGAUAACCAGUACAACGACAUAGAUUUCCUGCAAGACAUUCUUCAAUCUCCUCCUCAGAAGGUGAGUUUUUACUUGACCUCAACAACGAAUACAUGGACAUGAUAAACCCGGGAGUACAAAACCCACAUUGGGAACCAUGGGAAGAUGCCAAAGACUCCUGAGAGAAUCAAGAUCAUAACAGUGACAAAAGAAUCUCCGCAAAAUAAGAAGAAAUAGAACCUGAGAGAAGUAAAUCUUACCUGGACAGGGUGCAAGCCAAGUUUGCGAUGCCCAAGUCCCUCAAUGGAUAUUACAUGCAUCCCUUCUACAGAAUAGAGAGGUGCUAGGCAAGCGUUGACAGCAUAAUGCCUGCAAUAAAAGUUUCCGUAUGAACAGAGAAAGAAUCAAUAAGAAGGCGCAAAUAUAAACUAAACAAAGCCAACAUAUAGGAGGGACAGAUACGCACACAGAGGUCUUUGACUUCCUGUCAUAACUAGACACCAUCACCGUGCAAGCCCCACAACCACCUUCGCCGCAUCCCAGCUUUGUACCGGUCAAUCCUAAAUCUACAAGAAACAUCUGUAAGUUAGAAACUACUUCAUGAUCGUUUAGAAAAAAAGAUUGAUCUCUGCAAGUCAUUUUUUGUCCCCAAGCGAAUCUAGCAAUUGGAGCAUAAUCUUACUCAAAUAAAGACAGUGGUCUAAAAAAACAAAAGAACAGUGGAUCAAACAUAAUCUCGAUUUUUUUAGAAUCCAGAAUCUAUAAGUCAAACAUAAGCCUUUUUCUUUAACAUACUAGAGUAAGAAACUAGGAAUCCAAAAAACAGAAUCUUCAUAGAGAGUAUCAGUUCAAAAUUGAAUUGAAAAUUAAACUUGUUUGAGUACUUGAAAUCAUCCCCAGCAAUUGGAUAUUAAUCAAAGAAGUUGAUACGCACCUCUGAGAUAUUCGAGAAGUGUCAUAUGAGCCAAUCCAUCAGGCAAGACUCUACGAACGCCGUUAACGUACAGUAACGCCUCCGUAAACUCAUCUCCGAUCUCGCCGUCCUUUUUCAGUGAACCCAUUUCUCAAAUUGAGAGAAAACUCGAUUGGGAUCGAAACAAAAACGAAGAUGGCGAAGUUGAUUACGCCAAGUCAAGAGAAGCAAAAAAGGAAUAACAUUUUCCUUUUUUAAUAAUAAAAUUCGUGUUCCUUUCCGAUAGCAUCCACCGAAUGAAUACGCAUCUUCAUCAUCAUCACUUGUGCAGUCAAUUUUUUUUUUUUUUUUUUUUUUUUUGUAAAGAACCCAAAAUAGAAAGAACGAAAUUUAAGUUUGAACAAAGUAAAACAAUUGAAGCCUAUAUGAUGUUUUUACAAUGCCACUUAUAUAUUUGUUUAACUGAAUUUUGCUGAUUAUGUUUCGUUUAUAAAUUGUAGUCUGAUUAGUUAUGACUAGUGUGUUAUUGUCUUGUCUUAAGAUUUACUUUAAAAGAAAUUUUGAUGAUAUUGUUUGUUUUAUUUUUGGUUUUGAUAUAUGAUGAUGAUAAGCGUCUUGCAUUGCUCAGCAUAACUGCUUCACAUUCUUUGCUCACUUGAAGUUAGAGGUUGUUCAGAAAAAAAAAAUCUGAUAUUUUAUCUCGAUGGCGCGCGCAUUUAGUCAACAAAGUUGCUGCUUUGAAGAAACAUGUAUCAUGUUACAUCAUGUAUUUGGAGACUGGAAGUAACUUACAUAUAUGACUUUGACAAAAUGGAUUGAUCCAUCUUUCUCCCCUCUAUUAAAGUUUAAAGCUCAAACACUAAGCUUUGGGCAGAAAUCUGAAUUUGCAAAAGGAGCUGAAAACUCGUCGAAACAAGCCAUCCUGAUACGCUCUGGAGUGGCUGGAGUCUCCAGAGGGAACCAGUUGGUGAGACCUACCUCGCUUCUAGCCGCUUUGAUUGCUUCCUUUAUUGCAAAGAAGGCUGAUGCUGCAAGAAAGAACGGUGGCUCACCCACUGCUUUAGAUGAAUGUAUUGCCUUUGCAUUUGGAUUACCCUGAGUAUAAUCUCAUGUUCAGUUUCAAAUGUGUUGCUACCAAUUUAAACAGCUUGUUCCUAUAGUUGCAUACCUUGAGAAGAGAAACAUUCAGUUGGAACGGCAUGUCGUUGAUGGAAGGUAUUUUGUAGCUUCCGGGUCCGCAAGUGAGUAAACUUCCUGGUUUAAUCCAUUUAUGAGCUGCAUCUCCCCACUUGAGUUCUUCUAGAG